ACUCUGAACCUUCACAAUGACGACUCUGAACCGUUGCACACUCGUUGCGGAUCUAUACCACGGUUGCCUCUGAUUCCAGAUCUUCCCCACAUAUGCACGAAUCUUUUGGUUACAAUAUGUCAAGGCUCAUGUCCUUCCGACACCAUCAACGCUCACAACACAUCUCAACUUAUGGCUAUAAACAGGGAUCGGUUCCUAAAUCCUAGGGUUUACUCUAUCCUAAACUAACAAGGCUUUUAAAAGAAACUAAACCUAACUACCACAACCUAGCAAGGGUUACUCAUUAACCGCACUU
RNAcentral lists this long non-coding RNA (295 nucleotides) under Brassica napus (rape). RNAcentral's name for it is "long non-coding RNA (BNAP_LNC026239)". Lineage: Eukaryota; Viridiplantae; Streptophyta; Magnoliopsida; Brassicales; Brassicaceae. The record is from RNAcentral.